AGGAAGUGUGGGUGAGUGGCUGAAACCACCAGUUUGCUAAACUGACGUACGGGUAACCGUACCGGGGGUUCGAAUCCCCGGCAUUCCUUCUUA
This 93-nucleotide transfer RNA is filed under the name Coprobacter tertius. Its description in RNAcentral is "tRNA-Ser". It matches the Rfam family "tRNA". From Rfam's summary of the family: Transfer RNA (tRNA) molecules are approximately 80 nucleotides in length. Their secondary structure includes four short double-helical elements and three loops (D, anti-codon, and T loops). Lineage: Bacteria; Pseudomonadati; Bacteroidota; Bacteroidia; Bacteroidales; Barnesiellaceae. The record is from RNAcentral.